RNAcentral lists this ribosomal RNA (403 nucleotides) under Deltaproteobacteria bacterium. RNAcentral describes it as "partial 23S ribosomal RNA". It matches the Rfam family "Bacterial large subunit ribosomal RNA", at positions 2453 to 2925 of the family's 2925-position model. The record is from RNAcentral. Lineage: Bacteria; Pseudomonadati; Myxococcota; Myxococcia.
CGGAUAAAAGGUACUCCGGGGAUAACAGGCUUAUCACGUCCAAGAGUUCACAUCGACGACGUGGUUUGGCACCUCGAUGUCGGCUCAUCGCAUCCUGGGGCUGAAAUCGGUCCCAAGGGUUUAGCUGUUCGCUAAUUAAAGCGGUACGCGAGCUGGGUUCAGAACGUCGUGAGACAGUUCGGUCCCUAUCCGUCGUGGGCGCAGGACGGCAUCGCCGGGUAGCUAUGUUCGGACGGGAUAACCGCUGAAAGCAUCUAAGCGGGAAGCCCCCCUCGAGAUUAGGCGUCCCGAGCCGCAAGGCUCCUGAAGACCCCACGUAGACAACGUGGUUGAUAGGCCGGAUGUGGAAGUGCGGCAACGCACGGAGCUUACCGGUACUAAUCGGUCGUGUGGCUUGACCACC